GCGGUUGCCGUGGCAGCGCCGGCUCCAGGGAGGGCUGCUGGCGCCGGGCCGGGACCGCGGGGCCUGAGGCGGAGACCGGAGAGCCCCCGGCCCGGCCGGAGGCAGCUCGGGACAGGCUUGAGCGGCGGGGCGCGCUGCCCGGCCGGCGGGGAUGCGGGACCGGCUGCCAGACCUGACGGCGUGUAGGAAGAAUGAUGAUGGAGACACAGUUGUUGUGGUUGAGAAAGAUCAUUUCAUGGAUGAUUUCUUCCAUCAGGUGGAGGAGAUUAGAAACAGUAUUGAUAAAAUAACUCAAUAUGUUGAAGAAGUAAAGAAAAACCACAGCAUCAUUCUUUCUGCACCAAACCCGGAAGGAAAAAUAAAAGAAGAGCUUGAAGAUCUGAACAAAGAAAUCAAGAAAACUGCGAAUAAAAUUCGAGCCAAGUUAAAGGCUAUUGAACAAAGUUUUGAUCAGGAUGAGAGUGGGAACCGGACUUCAGUGGAUCUUCGGAUACGAAGAACCCAGCAUUCGGUGCUGUCUCGGAAGUUUGUGGAAGCCAUGGCGGAGUACAAUGAGGCACAGACUCUGUUUCGGGAGCGGAGCAAGGGCCGCAUCCAGCGCCAGCUGGAGAUAACUGGGAGAACCACCACAGACGACGAGCUAGAAGAGAUGCUGGAGAGCGGGAAGCCAUCCAUCUUCACUUCCGACAUUAUAUCAGAUUCACAAAUUACUAGACAAGCUCUCAAUGAAAUCGAGUCACGUCACAAGGACAUCAUGAAGCUGGAGACCAGCAUCCGAGAGUUGCAUGAGAUGUUCAUGGACAUGGCUAUGUUUGUGGAGACUCAGGGUGAAAUGAUCAACAACAUAGAAAGAAACGUUAUGAAUGCCACAGACUAUGUAGAACACGCUAAAGAAGAAACAAAAAAAGCUAUCAAAUAUCAGAGCAAGGCAAGAAGGCUUGCUUUUCUUUGACAGAAAAAGUGGAUAAUUAUUGCUGUGUCAGUGGUUCUGGUUGCCAUAAUCACUCUAAUUAUUGGCUUGUCAGUUGGCAAAUGAUGGUGUGGAUAACGUCAGUGUGCAUGCUUCUCUGCCAGGGUGGGAAAAAUGAUGUUCAUUGUUAUUUGUGUAAUUGUUUUGCUUGUGAUCCUUGGAAUUAUCCUAGCAACAACAUUGUCAUAGCAACCAUAUCCCAAGAGCCAUUUAUCCUUGAGACUCAGACCACAUCUGCAACCAAAUCAGCAUCCUGUCAUUUCGUGAAUGAAUCUCAGACGCUGUAACCCGGCAUUGAGUGCUGACCUUGUAAUGUAUGAGUUCACGGAAGAAGCACAACCGAACAUCUCGUUCAGUGAAAGCGCCGUAAGCACAGUGGGUGUGAUGCGUGACCCUGAAUGACACACUACAGAAUGUGAGCAGUGUGAGGCUUCUCUCACUGGCCUUGAAAUAAGAAAAUAUUGAACAUUUUAAUAUUAAAAAUAUUUCAGUGUUAACAAAUGUGCAUGAAGUUUAAUUAGGAAGGAAUGCUUUAUGUUAUGAAGCUUUUUUUUUUUUUUGAGACGGAGUCUCGCUUUGUCAUCCAGGCUGGAGUGCAGUGGUGCGAUCUCAGCUCACUGCAACCUCAGCCUCCCGGGUUCAAGCAAUUCUCCUGCCUCAGCCUCCCGAGUAGCUGGGAUUACAGGCAUGGGCCACCACGCCCAGCUAAUUUUUUGUGUUUUCUUUUUAGUAGAGACGGGGUUUUACCAUGCUGGCCAGGCUGGCCUCAAACUCCUGACCUUGUGAUCCACCCACCUCAGCCUCCCAAAGUGCUGGGAUUACAGGCGUGAGCCACCCGGCAGGCCGUUCUGAAGCUUUGAGAUCUCAGGUCUAAGGCUUCCUUUCCCUCCCUCUCCCAGCUAGUAUGUGCUAAUUAAGAGACCUUUUAUACUGUUUUGUUUAUUGCCUGUUUGAAGAAAUAAUUUUUAUCACGUUUUUGUAAGAUAUCUAUAAUUUUAAAUGUUUAUAAAUUGCUUAAUUUAUUAGCAUCUUAAUGUACCCCAUUUUUAUAUACUGAAUGUGGCCUUUUGAGUGAAAUAGGAAGCUUCAUGGUGUUGGAGCCACCUUUGUACAGUUGUUUAAAGUUUCCCAUUGUCAUAGAAGACAUUGGUUGCAAAGCCCCUCAAAGCCCUCAAGUGCCUUCUGUGAGUUUAAAUGUGCUGGUGCCCUCGAGAAAAGCCUCGGCCUCAGCUCCGUUUCCGCCUGUUCCCUCCCCCAGGAUAAUGAAUGGUUACUUCACUGUAAAGACCGUGGUCUCUUUUCACUAAAUAGAUUCGAGUUUCCCAGUUUACAUGAAUGAAGUCUGAAUUUAAGACGGUGAUGAAACUGAGGUUCAGUACUCUCGGGACUCGAGGAAAUUAUUCCUGAGACAUGGAGUAAUUCUUACAAAUUUAAACUAUUGUACAGAUCACAUACAUGUUGUUAAGUACCUAAUGUUUUGCUGAACUUUAAAAGUUAAUUUCCAAAAUGUAUAGGGAUUCAUGAUAAUUAAACCUUUUUAUUGCUCUUUUUUUAGUAGAAGAAUAUCACUUAUUUUUAGACUUGUAAAAUGUAUGAACUGGUGAGCGGACAUCUGUUAAGAGAGUCACUAGUCAGAAUGCUAAAGGAGUGCAUGCAGGAUGCCCCAAGUAUCGUGAACGCUUGUUACUCCUGUAUGUGGUAGUGUAAGCAUGUGACUUUUAACACCAUUUGGCUUGAAACUAAUGUAGGGAUGCCUGAUUCCAAACAGGUGUGGAGAAUAUUGAACGGCUCAGAAGCCGCGUCCCUUACUUAACACAAUUCCGAAUCUCCCUCAUCCAUGACGCGUCCAUUGGAUCACUCGCUGGUGGUCACUGUGUGGCAGUUACUAGGGGAAUUCUGCCUCUGACUGUUUUUUUUCUUUUGGUCUUUAAACACCCUGUUGUGGGAUGUGCUCACUGAUUUGUGGCUAUGUUGAAGGUAUCACUUGUCAUGAGGGUUUUCAAUAUUUCAGGAUCAUGCUGGUGGCAAAAGGACUCCAUGCCUCUGUGGAAUCAUGUCCACGGGGGGACCUGCCUCCCGUGAUGUCCCACCUUUCCUUCAAGGUCUGUCAUAUGAGUCCUCCCCUUUUACAACACUUAUUAUGGUAUUUUUCAAGUUAUUCUUCUUAGAUUUGCAGUACCUGCUGAAAUUUGUGUUUUUAUAGUUGAAGUUAGGAAAAUGCUAUUUGAUUUGUAUUUAGAUAUUUACAUCACUUGUCCAAUGACGUGUAUGUCUAAGCCUCAUGUACCGAUUUGAAGUCAGACUUAAAAAUGUAUUUACAGAUUCACUUGAGACUUUUUAAUCGGUUCUUCAAAUAUUUCAUGUUUACAUUAAAAAUUUCCAGAGAAGCAUAAAAGUAUUCACUUUCCUGCCUUGUCAUUUCUGGAAAGAUUUUGGGGAGAUAUUUUAUUGCAUAUUCAUUAAUAAAUUGUUCUAUUAGGAAAA
RNA transcript from Pan troglodytes (chimpanzee), 3454 nucleotides. It is a transcript of the gene named syntaxin 2, with no coding region annotated. NCBI's taxonomy places the organism in Eukaryota, Metazoa, Chordata, Mammalia, Primates, Hominidae. The transcript has 11 exons. The record is from RefSeq and is a predicted model, not a curated record.